Molecule: ribosomal RNA, 253 nt
Filed under: uncultured bacterium
Lineage: Bacteria
Description: partial 16S ribosomal RNA
Rfam family: Bacterial small subunit ribosomal RNA
Source: RNAcentral
UACGGAGGGUGCAAGCGUUAAUCGGAAUUACUGGGCGUAAAGCGCGCGUAGGCGGCCAUGUAAGUCGGGUGUGAAAUCCCCGGGCUCAACCUGGGAAUUGCAUUCGAUACUGCACGGCUGGAGUAUGGUAGAGGGUAGUGGAAUUCCGGGUGUAGCGGUGAAAUGCGUAGAUAUCCGGAGGAACACCAGUGGCGAAGGCGGCUACCUGGACCAAUACUGACGCUGAGGCGCGAAAGCGUGGGGAGCAAACAGG